GGGGUUGUGGCUCAGUGGUAGAGCACUUGCCCUGCGUGCAUGAGGCACUGGGUUGGAUCCACAGCACCACA
This 71-nucleotide transfer RNA is filed under the name Marmota monax (woodchuck). RNAcentral's name for it is "tRNA.Ala". It matches the Rfam family "tRNA". Rfam says of the family: Transfer RNA (tRNA) molecules are approximately 80 nucleotides in length. Their secondary structure includes four short double-helical elements and three loops (D, anti-codon, and T loops). Lineage: Eukaryota; Metazoa; Chordata; Mammalia; Rodentia; Sciuridae. The record is from RNAcentral.